GAUGAACGCUGGCGGCGUGCCUAAUACAUGCAAGUCGAGCGAACGGACGAGAAGCUUGCUUCUCUGAUGUUAGCGGCGGACGGGUGAGUAACACGUGGAUAACCUACCUAUAAGACUGGGAUAACUCCGGGAAACCGGAGCUAAUACCGGAUGAUAUUUUGAACCGCAUGGUUCAAAAGUGAAAGACGGUCUUGCUGUCACUUAUAGAUGGAUCCGCGCUGCAUUAGCUAGUUGGUAAGGUAACGGCUUACCAAGGCAACGAUGCAUAGCCGACCUGAGAGGGUGAUCGGCCACACUGGAACUGAGACACGGUCCAGACUCCUACGGGAGGCAGCAGUAGGGAAUCUUCCGCAAUGGGCGAAAGCCUGACGGAGCAACGCCGCGUGAGUGAUGAAGGUCUUCGGAUCGUAAAACUCUGUUAUUAGGGAAGAACAUAUGUGUAAGUAACUGUGCACAUCUUGACGGUACCUAAUCAGAAAGCCACGGAUAACUACGUG
RNAcentral lists this ribosomal RNA (497 nucleotides) under uncultured bacterium. Its description in RNAcentral is "partial 16S ribosomal RNA". It matches the Rfam family "Bacterial small subunit ribosomal RNA", at positions 28 to 507 of the family's 1533-position model. The record is from RNAcentral.